Molecule: ribosomal RNA, 437 nt
Filed under: uncultured Clostridium sp.
Lineage: Bacteria; Bacillati; Bacillota; Clostridia; Eubacteriales; Clostridiaceae
Description: partial 16S ribosomal RNA
Rfam family: Bacterial small subunit ribosomal RNA
Source: RNAcentral
ACGGAAGGCAGCAGUGGGGAAUAUUGGGCAAUGGGCGAAAGCCUGACCCAGCGACGCCGCGUGAGGGAAGACGGUCUUCGGAUUGUAAACCUUAGUCAACAGGGAAGAAACAAAUGACGGUACCUGUGGAGGAAGCCACGGCUAACUACGUGCCAGCAGCCGCGGUAAUACGUAGGUGGCAAGCGUUAUCCGGAAUUACUGGGUGUAAAGGGUGUGUAGGCGGGAAGGCAAGUCAGAUGUGAAAAUUAUGGGCUUAACUCAUAACCUGCAUUUGAAACUGUUUUUCUUGAGGGACGGAGAGGUAAACGGAAUUCCCAGUGUAGCGGUGAAAUGCGUAGAUAUUGGGAGGAACACCAGUGGCGAAGGCGGUUUACUGGACGUCAACUGACGCUGAGACACGAAAGCGUGGGGAGCAAACAGGAUUAGAUACCCUGGUA